AACGAACGCUGGCGGCAGGCUUAACACAUGCAAGUCGAACGGGUGUCGCAAGACAUCAGUGGCAGACGGGUGAGUAACACGUGGGAACCUUCCUAGGGGUACGGAACAACUCAGGGAAACUUGAGCUAAUACCGUAUACGUCCGUGAGGAGAAAGAUUUAUCGCCCUUAGACGGGCCCGCGUCGGAUUAGCUAGUUGGUGGGUAACGGCCGUACCAAGGCGACGAUCCGUAGCUGAUCUGAGAGGAUGAUCAGCCACACUGGGACGUGAGAUACGGCCCAGACUCCUACGGGAGGCAGCAGUGGGGAAGUCUUGGACAAUGGGCGGCAAGCCUGAUCCAGCCAUGCCGCGUGAGUGAAGAAGGCCUUA
This 368-nucleotide ribosomal RNA is filed under the name uncultured bacterium. Its description in RNAcentral is "bacterial SSU rRNA". It matches the Rfam family "Bacterial small subunit ribosomal RNA", at positions 29 to 419 of the family's 1533-position model. The record is from RNAcentral.